This 508-nucleotide ribosomal RNA is filed under the name uncultured bacterium. RNAcentral's name for it is "partial 16S ribosomal RNA". It matches the Rfam family "Bacterial small subunit ribosomal RNA", at positions 28 to 523 of the family's 1533-position model. The record is from RNAcentral.
GAUGAACGCUAGCUACAGGCUUAACACAUGCAAGUCGAGGGGAAACGAUAGAGAAGGCUUGCUUUUUCUAGGCGUCGACCGGCGCACGGGUGAGUAACGCGUAUCCAACCUGCCCACCACUUGGGAAUAACCUUGCGAAAGUAAGACUAAUACCCAAUGAUAUCUCAAGAAGACAUCUGAAUGAGAUUAAAGAUUUAUCGGUGAUGGAUGGGGAUGCGUCUGAUUAGCUUGUUGGCGGGGUAACGGCCCACCAAGGCGACGAUCAGGAGGGGUUCUGAGAGGAAGGUCCCCCACAUUGGAACUGAGACACGGUCCAAACUCCUACGGGAGGCAGCAGUGAGGAAUAUUGGUCAAUGGGCGAGAGCCUGAACCAGCCAAGUAGCGUGCAGGAUGACGGCCCUAUGGGUUGUAAACUGCUUUUAUAAGGGAAUAAAGUGAGCCUCGUGAGGCUUUUUGCAUGUACCUUAUGAAUAAGGACCGGCUAAUUCCGUGCCAGCAGCCGCCGUAA